UAUUGUUUGAUACACAUAAAAAUGAAUGCUAGUUUGAAGUCAGAAUGAGACAAUAGUGAUAACUCAUUGGAAUAUCAAGAAGACUCUCCCCAGAACAAUGCUUCACACUCAGAUAUGUGUUGGUGUUGCGUCCUUCAUUUUAUUUGCUCUUCUGGUGAUUUUGUGUAUUCGCUGCAGACCUUCAAAAAACGUGGGUAAGAAAACAAAACAUAGUG
Bombina bombina (fire-bellied toad) is the source of this 215-nucleotide long non-coding RNA. RefSeq lists it as uncharacterized. The transcript is spliced from 3 exons. The record is from RefSeq and is a predicted model, not a curated record. NCBI's taxonomy places the organism in Eukaryota, Metazoa, Chordata, Amphibia, Anura, Bombinatoridae.